This 1530-nucleotide ribosomal RNA is filed under the name Escherichia coli. Its description in RNAcentral is "bacterial SSU rRNA". It matches the Rfam family "Bacterial small subunit ribosomal RNA". Lineage: Bacteria; Pseudomonadati; Pseudomonadota; Gammaproteobacteria; Enterobacterales; Enterobacteriaceae. The record is from RNAcentral.
AGAGUUUGAUCAUGGCUCAGAUUGAACGCUGGCGGCAGGCCUAACACAUGCAAGUCGAACGGUAACAGGAAACAGCUUGCUGUUUCGCUGACGAGUGGCGGACGGGUGAGUAAUGUCUGGGAAACUGCCUGAUGGAGGGGGAUAACUACUGGAAACGGUAGCUAAUACCGCAUAACGUCGCAAGACCAAAGAGGGGGACCUUCGGGCCUCUUGCCAUCGGAUGUGCCCAGAUGGGAUUAGCUUGUUGGUGGGGUAACGGCUCACCAAGGCGACGAUCCCUAGCUGGUCUGAGAGGAUGACCAGCCACACUGGAACUGAGACACGGUCCAGACUCCUACGGGAGGCAGCAGUGGGGAAUAUUGCACAAUGGGCGCAAGCCUGAUGCAGCCAUGCCGCGUGUAUGAAGAAGGCCUUCGGGUUGUAAAGUACUUUCAGCGGGGAGGAAGGGAGUAAAGUUAAUACCUUUGCUCAUUGACGUUACCCGCAGAAGAAGCACCGGCUAACUCCGUGCCAGCAGCCGCGGUAAUACGGAGGGUGCAAGCGUUAAUCGGAAUUACUGGGCGUAAAGCGCACGCAGGCGGUUUGUUAAGUCAGAUGUGAAAUCCCCGGGCUCAACCUGGGAACUGCAUCUGAUACUGGCAAGCUUGAGUCUCGUAGAGGGGGGUAGAAUUCCAGGUGUAGCGGUGAAAUGCGUAGAGAUCUGGAGGAAUACCGGUGGCGAAGGCGGCCCCCUGGACGAAGACUGACGCUCAGGUGCGAAAGCGUGGGGAGCAAACAGGAUUAGAUACCCUGGUAGUCCACGCCGUAAACGAUGUCGACUUGGAGGUUGUGCCCUUGAGGCGUGGCUUCCGGAGCUAACGCGUUAAGUCGACCGCCUGGGGAGUACGGCCGCAAGGUUAAAACUCAAAUGAAUUGACGGGGGCCCGCACAAGCGGUGGAGCAUGUGGUUUAAUUCGAUGCAACGCGAAGAACCUUACCUGGUCUUGACAUCCACAGAACCCUGUAGAGAUACGGGGGUGCCUUCGGGAACUGUGAGACAGGUGCUGCAUGGCUGUCGUCAGCUCGUGUUGUGAAAUGUUGGGUUAAGUCCCGCAACGAGCGCAACCCUUAUCCUUUGUUGCCAGCGGUCCGGCCGGGAACUCAAAGGAGACUGCCAGUGAUAAACUGGAGGAAGGUGGGGAUGACGUCAAGUCAUCAUGGCCCUUACGACCAGGGCUACACACGUGCUACAAUGGCGCAUACAAAGAGAAGCGACCUCGCGAGAGCAAGCGGACCUCAUAAAGUGCGUCGUAGUCCGGAUUGGAGUCUGCAACUCGACUCCAUGAAGUCGGAAUCGCUAGUAAUCGUGGAUCAGAAUGCCACGGUGAAUACGUUCCCGGGCCUUGUACACACCGCCCGUCACACCAUGGGAGUGGGUUGCAAAAGAAGUAGGUAGCUUAACCUUCGGGAGGGCGCUUACCACUUUGUGAUUCAUGACUGGGGUGAAGUCGUAACAAGGUAACCGUAGGGGAACCUGCGGUUGGAUCACCU